AUUGAACGCUGGCGGAAUGCUUUACACAUGCAAGUCGAACGGCAGCACGGACUUCGGUCUGGUGGCGAGUGGCGAACGGGUGAGUAACAUAUCGGAACGUAUCCAAUAAUGGGGGAUAACCAAUCGAAAGGUUGGCUAAUACCGCAUACGCCCUACGGGGGAAAGCAGGGGAUCUUCGGACCUUGCGUUAAUGGAGCGGCUGAUAUCUGAUUAGCUAGUUGGUGAGGUAAAGGCUCACCAAGGCGACGAUCAGUAGCUGGUCUGAGAGGACGACCAGCCACACUGGAACUGAGACACGGUCCAGACUCCUACGGGAGGCAGCAGUGGGGAAUUUUGGACAAGGGGCGCAAGCCUGAUCCAGCCAUUCCGCGUGAGUGAAGAAGGCCUUCGGGUUGUAAAGCUCUUUCGCAAGGGAAGAAAACUUACUUUCUAAUAAAGAGUGAGGUUGACGGUACCUUGAUAAGAAGCACCGGCUAACUACGUGCCAGCAGCCGCCGUAA
This 500-nucleotide ribosomal RNA is filed under the name uncultured bacterium. RNAcentral describes it as "partial 16S ribosomal RNA". It matches the Rfam family "Bacterial small subunit ribosomal RNA", at positions 30 to 523 of the family's 1533-position model. The record is from RNAcentral.